RNAcentral lists this ribosomal RNA (1364 nucleotides) under Trinervitermes sp. IND2. RNAcentral describes it as "16S ribosomal RNA". The stretch from base 878 to 1248 matches the Rfam family "Archaeal large subunit ribosomal RNA", at positions 2148 to 2718 of the family's 2987-position model. Lineage: Eukaryota; Metazoa; Arthropoda; Insecta; Blattodea; Termitidae. The record is from RNAcentral.
GGUCUGAUUGUAGGUUAUCUUGCUUUAUGUAUUUGUGGUUAAUUUGUUUUUAAUUAAAAUAUUAUUUUGUUGUUGUAUUUUUUUUUGAUUUAAUUUUUUUGCUAUAGGUUAUUUGUAUCGUAAGAGGUUGAUGGGUUAAAUGUUUUUUUGGAAGCUGAUUUUAUUUGUCGUACCUUGUGUAUCAGGGUUCAUUGAAUUUUAUUAUUUAUUUUUAUUUCCCGAUUUUAAAGGAGUUAGUGGUUUAUGUUAGUUGCUGUUUUAUUAGUAUUAAUAAUAGGCUGUUGGUAGUGAAAUGUUAUUCGUCUUUAGUGGUUUCUGGUUUUUCAAGAAAUGAAUUUAAUUCAUGCAUUAUGUUUAAUUUCUGUUGUUAUUUUAUUUAUUUUUAUUUGAUGUUAAGAUUAAGGGGGAUUAGCUCCUUGUUUUAUCCUUAUAAUUGAUUUGUUGUUUAAUUUAGUUUUGUGGAUUUUAUAGUGAUUUUCUAUUUGAUUAUGUUAAAAUUUUAUUUGUUCUUUUAUUUAUUUUUUGUUAUUUAAGUUAUUUAUUGAAAUGUUUUCUUUAUUUUUGGUUUGUAUAGUAAUUAUUGUGUAAUUAGUAAAUUUAUUGUUUUUGUAUGAUAAGUAUAGGUGUUAAUUGCUUUUGAGGAAUUAGGCAAAAAUUUAUGUCCGCCUGUUUAACAAAAACAUCUUUUCUCGUUAGUUUUUGAAGUAUGGCCUGCCCACUGACGUGUUGUUGAAGGGCCGCGGUAUUUUGACCGUGCAAAGGUAGCAUAAUCAUUAGUUCUUUAAUUGUGAUCUGGUAUGAAUGGCUUGACGAGACAUAAGCUGUCUUAGAAGUAUUGUUUAUUGAAUUUGGUUUUUGAGUUAAAAUUCUUAAAUGUUUUUAUGGGACGAGAAGACCCUAUAGAGUUUAACAUUCUUCCUAUUUGUUUUUUGUUUGUUUUAUGCUUGUUGAGUGGGAAUAUUGUUUUGUUGGGGUGAUGGGAGGAAUUAAUUUAACUCCUCUUUGUUUUUGUAUAUUUAUAUAUAUCUUUUUGAUCCAUUUUUUUUGAUUAUAAGAUUAAAUUACCUUAGGGAUAACAGCGUUAUCCUCCUUGAGAGUUCUUAUUGGCGGGGGGGUUUGCGACCUCGAUGUUGGAUUAAGGUGAAUUUUCGGUGCAGGAGCUGAAAUGAUUAGGUCUGUUCGACCUUUAAAAUCUUACAUGAUCUGAGUUCAAACCGGCGUGAGCCAGGUUGGUUUCUAUCUAUAGAAUUGUUUUAUACCUUAGUACGAGAGGACCGGGUAUUUGGAAUAAUUUCAUUUAAAUUGGGGUUUGUUAAUGUGUUACUAUUUUGGCAGAUAAGUGCAUUGGAUUUAGAAUCUAUUAA